Molecule: ribosomal RNA, 468 nt
Filed under: uncultured bacterium
Lineage: Bacteria
Description: partial 16S ribosomal RNA
Rfam family: Bacterial small subunit ribosomal RNA
Source: RNAcentral
GACGAACGCUGGCGGCGUGCUUAACACAUGCAAGUCGAACGGAAAGGCUCCAGCUUGCUGGAGUACUCGAGUGGCGAACGGGUGAGUAACACGUGGGUGAUCUGCCCUGCACUUCGGGAUAAGCCUGGGAAACUGGGUCUAAUACCGGAUAGGACCGCACUUUGGUGUGUGUGGUGGAAAGGUUUUUCUGGUGUGGGAUGAGCUCGCGGCCUAUCAGUUUGUUGGUGGGGUAAUGGCCUACCAAGACGGCGACGGGUAGCCGGCCUGAGAGGGUGGACGGUCACAUUGGGACUGAGAUACGGCCCAGACUCCUACGGGAGGCAGCAGUGGGGAAUAUUGAACAAUGGGGGAAACCCUGAUGCAGCGACGCCGCGUGGGGGAUGAAGGCCUUCGGGUUGGAAACUCCUUUCGCUAGGGACGAAGCUUUUUGUGACGGUACCUGGAGAAGAAGCACCGGCUAACUACGUG